GGGCAUUGGCAUGUCAUGCAACACACGUGCAUUCCUUCUCAUAAAAGGCAGAGAAUUGAGUUGUAUGUGGGGGAUUUAAGCGUCUCUCUUAUCAUUUGGAAGAAAAAUAAUAAACUAAAAGCGCCACGCUUUGAGGUCUGACAGCCCUGCAGUUCCAUUAAGAAUUCCUCUAAAUUUACAGAGAGAGCAAACCUCCACAGCUUAACGCCCACAGAAACAAGGCAAUCACUCACCUCAGCCCCUCGCAGCCAGACAGCAUUUACACUCUCACACACUGAGAUUCUAAGACAAAUGUUCGCACGCACAUGCAGGAGCAUUCAACAGUACACACACACACACACACACACACACACACACACACACAGAGUGCAGAUGAUGGUACUGAUGAUUUCUUGUUGCCGACAGUUUGCUUCUCCCCUAAGUCCUGUGUGUGUGUGCGCGCAUAUGCGUGGGUGGAUAAGGAUCCGUCAUGGAAAAGGUUACGGCUGAUGCCAGUGCAAACAAGAGGCGCAGGAUCCGGCCACAAACCACCAGCCAAUCUAGAAAACUUCUCACCCUUGAGAAUUACACACAUUAAGGAAAAAAUACACACAUUCGGCUUGUCGUACGCACACACACACACAAUGGGCCGACUGAUUAAUCCAAACGCAGAGGAGCACACGCGAACAGAGGGAUGGAAUUCCGUCCCCCCCCCCAGCACACACGUUCAGUCCCAUCAUGCAUGCGCGGCAGCAUGAGCUCGGGUUGACACACAUUCCUUUUGGGACGCUUAAAGGACUUUGCUAGUUAGUGCUGAUGACAUUCAGAAAUAUUAGACGUCCUUGGGUUUUCCAAUCUCUUCCUCCGAAACUCCCAAAAGGAGCGGGGCGGGUCAUUAAAAUGUCAGGGCUCGUGUGCACAGCGCUUGCAGGAGACGUGGAAGGACCAAGUCUCGGCAUCAGCGGUGCAUUUUUGUAUUCCGCGGCUCCCGGAAAUGGGAUUGUGAUUGUGAAACCGGCAAUUGCGGCGUGGCGCUGUAUUAAAAUCCCCAAAGAUGAGUGCAAACAGAGAAAGCCAAUGAGAAAGCGGGAUACUUGAGACGUGGAAGACAGACCCAGAUAGACACAAACCAGAGAUGCACACGCAGCCAAUAGAUCUCCGGAUGUCUCUGGAGAGUUUGGCUAAUGUCUCCCUGGCACGCAUGAAUAUAAAAUGGCCUGUUGUGACUCAAAUAGUGGCGUGUUAGUGGCUGGGAACAGAAUUAGAUGGGUCUGGGAAGAUAAUAAAUUGACUAUUUUCACAGUCGAUAUGCCAAAAAGCUUCCACCAACGUGAAGAGAUACGAGGAAAGUACUACAAGGGGAAAAGUGUUGGAGAGGCCUAAUGGCUUCGAUUUUUCUCCUUUCUACCUCCCUCCUGCCCACAUCUCACUCUUUCCAACACAACACAUACACAUUACCUCAGUAAACAUUGUAAAUAUGAAUGUUUUGUCUCAAUUGCUGGUUUCAAUACAGCAAAAUAUGGUCCGUUUAGAAUUGAAAUAGACAUUAUGAGCGUGAUUACCUUGUGAUUGUACGAUCGCUACCACAACGUUUUAAGUGUGUCCGGCUAAUGAAAUAGUUCUUGGAACAUUUUCGUUACAUCAAAAUAAAGUGUUUGAUGCUCCACCCUCUUGUGUCACUGAUGGUUGUCAAAAAAACAAGAUGGCGACAACCCCCCCCCAAAAGAAAUGAACUUGGCGCCUGAAAACAGACCACGGGCUGACAUAGUGGUCACAGUCUAUAGUGGCUACACGCCGGCCAGGAUGUCCUUGAGUGGACAUUAAUUUCCGUGCGUCUGUGUGUCAAUGCUUUGACAUUCAGUGCAGAGAGGCAGCAACACCACAGACAGGAGAGGAAAAGAUGGACAUAUGGCUCUUUGUGUGAUUUGCUAUGAUUGUGUGCUUCACUUACCUUCCCUCAGAUGCCGUCUUGGGUUGUAAUGCAACUCGAGAGACAGAGGGGAGAGCAACAGACGCGAGGGGAGGGCGAGAGGGAGGUGAUGCAGGUGAGAGAGAAAAUCAACCACCUCUCACAGAGAGACAAUCAAUAAGCUCUCUUCUCAGUCUAUUUCCUAUGGGCUGGCCUGGAUAAUAGCAUUGUGCCAGAGCCGCCAGCGUGUAGCCUGCGAAUAGGCUCGGGGGUGACGGGAUAGUAAAGUAUGAAGCCAGCGCUGCUGUGGGACUUACACUAAUUGUUACUUUUGUCAUAAAGAGGGCAGAGGUAUCACUGGGGGGGGCGGUAACACUGAGAGGUGUUGUGGAUUCACAGGUACAAUGUCAAGGGAGUUUGGGCACAGGCAGAUGAGGAAAGAAAAGGUGCUAUUAUUCACAGUGUGAUUUUUCCGUUCAAACCGCAGUAAACCCAAAAUGUUUCAGAUGCGAGGACGUGAAGUGGAGGAGGUUUAUCCAGUGACGGAUACAAACAAUUACUUGUUAAUACGGGAAGUAUAAAAACCUGAACUCAUUUGUAGUUAGUUCGUUAAAUUUAAGCAGCACGUCGCAAUAUUUUUAUUUAUUGCAUAGGUCAAAAUGAAGUGCUUGUUCCAAGGACAGAGAGUAGCCAAAGCUCUAACAAGCUCACAAGCAUCCAGCUUCUCCAGUGGAAAGUGUGACCACUGCACAGAACCAAGUCAGCGGCUAACUAGCUGAUAGCUAACAGCUAACAUGGAGCCGAAAAGCAGAGAGAACGUUUUACUUUUAUUCAUCGGAGGGAUAGACACAUGACUCCAAAUGAAUGUUAAUAUUGUGCGUCGCGACUCGCACUAUGAAACCCAGGUAUGAGGUAACAUUUUUGAACUUCCAAUUCCCUUCGUCUCUAAAUCAAAGGAUAUUUUUGAAGGAUUUCUAGUCCUGCGACAGCGGCCUAGCUUUCAACUUUGAAAAUCAAAAAAUGGGUUUGCACAGAGCACAUGUCCUCCAGUAAUCAAAAAAACAAAACGGCCCAUCGGCUUUGUUGACGAGGAGAGGCCAACCUCCCGGUUGUUAAUCCAUUUGUGCCCGAUGUGUAAAGGUGCAAAGCAAGUAUGCUAAAUCAACUUUUUAAUGUUGCCCUGUGUGGCCACAUUUUUUGGGGGGGAAUAAUUAAAUAUGCUUUAAGAUGUCGCUCAACUGUAUGCUGUGCAGUUUUUUGCAGUGAGGGUUGAUUUUCCACCCCCCCCAAGAGCGACAGAAGUUAAAUGUCACCAGCUUUACGGUCUGCAGCCAGUCAAAAUUGGCUGGGGUGGAUAGAUAUAAGGGAACAGAUGUUUUGAUGGCGUACAAGAGAAUCCUGUCGAAAGGGAGUCAAAUAGACGGUAUAACUGCUUUUUAUGGAUGAUAAACUAAAAGGAACCAGUUACAUUUCUUCAGAAACAUGGAAAAAUGAAUCCUCAUUAAAUUAGAUGAGCUAAUGCAGUAGCUAGCAAGGUAAAGGUGCUGUGACUAUAUGCAAACUCCUUCAGGAUAUAUGACGUUCUUCCAAAAACAAGUUUUAAACUUUGUUAAUGCAACAACCCCUUUUCAGCAAGGGAAUGAUUCAAAUCUCAUCCCAUCUUAUACGUUCCAUGCAUCAUGCGCCUUCCUGUCCCUCUGAAUCUCCACCAGGAGCUCAAAAUAAAACCCAGUGUGACACAUGGGGGAUGACGAAGGUGGAAUUUCCACUUCGGUGCAGGUGAACCCAGUGAUUCAUUAAAAAGAACGAGCAAGUCAGCAGGAGUGCUGUGGCGAGGAGGGAUACUUGGGUAGGUAGACGGAGGUAGCAGGGGAGGGAAGGAAGGGUGUGGGUGAGGGGGUGAGCGGGAGGGCAGAGACUGUAGCUCCCAUCCAUAUGGUCGGCCAGUUGGUAUGCGGGCCAGGAGUCAGGUCUCAGUGAUCAUGAGCUUCACUACGCAUGAUUGCAUGAUCAUCACACAAACACACACACACAUGCAAAUGCUUCAGUGUGUGUACGAGUGUGUGCGGUGUUCGACAGGUGCACCAGAUGUCCACUUUCCACUCCUGUGGUCAUUGUUACUAACAUACUCGGGAUCAGGUGGUCGAACAGCAGAACCAGAAAACUGCCUCCGGGUCCAGCAGUGAAUACAGAAAGGAGGCCGUCCGCAUCUGCCUGGGGAGUGAUAAAGCCCUCACAUUGAGGCAAACUGGGAAUAUUUCAUAAUAUUUGAAAAAAGCCAACCGGGAGUCCAACUCGAUUGCUUCUUAAUGUCAAGGACGUUAUGUAGCGAUGAUCCGAUUAGCUGUCAGAAUCACACUUAUCGGACAAUGCAGUGCCAGUACCAAGCGUAUACCGAGAACAUCCACCACCAUUGUCAUUUAGCUCAGUUUAUUUAAGUUAAGUUGUUUUAUGUAUCUGGUGGUGAGAUCACUCUAUAAGCUUCAGCUCAAUAUUCAUUAAACAGAACAACAACUCCAGACAUUAAAGGCUUCUGGGUCAUUUGAAUUUUGGAAAAUGUGUUUAACAAAAGGCCCAAGACUUCUCAUCGUUACGGAGCCAAACAUAAUAACAGUAAAACAAAAGAAAAGAGCGUUAUUCUCUGCCAUGAAAUGCACAUGUUCUCGCUUCCUUGAUUGUGACUUAUGGUAUUUGGACAGAGCACCCGGCUGGUGUUCAGGCAGUAUGGGGCAGCACAUCUGCUAUGCCUCUCAACUUCAGCCUGACCUCUCCGAGGGGAGCGGACACACAAACACACUCACUCACACACACGCACACAAACACUUCUCGCAGGGGUCCGGCGUCCCACGCAGGGCGGCUGAGUGAACGAGCUAACCGUCUGUGACCGCGCUGUAAUUAGGAGCCUCUGCUUUCAUUUUCAACCUCUUUGGUGGUUUCUGCAUCGACCACAGGAACUUUUAUUUUACUUUGACUGCCCCCCAGGACCGAUGAUGAAAACCAUGAUGGAGAAUGAACGAAGCACGUGCGUGUGUGUGUGUGUGUGUUACGUCCCCUGUUCUCUGUGUGUGUGUGUGUGUGUGUGUGUGUGUGUGUGUGUGUGUUCAUACAGGUACUGAUCAGCUGUUUCCACUCAUCUCCAAUCCCAUCAUGCCCUUCUGUCAGUAUAUGUACCCCUGUGUUUGUUUCACCCAAGGAGGGUGUCACUCCGGUUGUGUGUAUGGAGUGCUGGUGUAUGGUAGUUAUUUAGUUCUGGUGAUUUGGUGUACUGUGUAUUCAAUUAAUUGUGUUUUUUUUCUUUGUUCUUUUUCUUACAGGGGGAUGAGGAGUAGUUUAGCCCUGCUCCGGAGUUUACAUACCUGCACGUAGGGUUACUCUCCUGUCUAACAACACUAGCUACACCUGGCUGGGCCACCUACUGUAAGUUUGGUUAGGGCGCCUUGUUAGUGUGCCAGUUAGUGGUUUUCUUUGGGAGAUAGGACAGGUAAGGGGGUGGGAGGCAUUUUGUUCUUUUCUUUGCUUUGGUACCGCCAGCCCUCCUCAUUUCCCCUGUUAACAGCGCUUAAAUAAAAGCCUGCUGACCCCAACUUCAGGUGAUGUUGUUUUCUUGCACCUACGACGCCAUACCCGUUUACUGGUCACAGGACGUCCUCGGCAGUGGCGUGAAUCCCACUCCCCUCCUGGGGAGUCAGAACGUAACAGUGUGUGUAAAUGAACCCAAUGAAAAGUUAAGAAAGAGUAGUGAAGACAGAGAGAAACAGCCGUCCCUCCGCUACAGUCUUCUCAGCAGCGUUUUCCGUGGAGAAAAGUGCCAGCAGGCUGCCUGUAAAACAGAACCAUUACACCGUUAACACCCAAUCCAUCUUCAUCCGACCACGCCCUAAUAAACUAUACCAGUAAAGAAGCCAUGGAGCUUCUCGAAGCGGACUGUGGAAAUGGGGUGGAGCGAGGGCUAGGACCACUAAACGCCCCCCCAAACCCCGGAGCCAGAGCCUGGGCAGGCCCAUCAGUGAAGGCUGCCUCUCCCUCCCUCUCCCCUCCUCUGUGGAUCUGCGGUUGGGCGCAGCAAUGAGAGGUGACUUGUGGCCGAUUGUGAUUUAUGUGGCGCCGGGUUCGGGUGUGCGGGAUGUAGCCCGGUGGAGGGGAGAAGAUGGAUCCCAGGCGUGACCGGAGGAGACAAUCUGAUUAUAGCCUUCUACCUCCUUUCAUCUUCAUCUUCAACACUUGCCGGUUCACUCGCUCCUUCGCCUACGUCAUGUCGCUAUGGUAACCCGAAUGCCGGUGAUAAGCCGGGCGCCUGGAAUGGCGACGUGAUGGUCGAGGCAGGCAGAGGAGGGUGCUGAUGAUGAUGUAUCUUUGUAGAAUCCUGACCUCAGAAGGAAACCACCACUUGGAGGGUGAAAAGAAAGCCCCAUGGAGGACAUAGAGAGUGGAAAGCUGUCAUUGCCGUUCGUCUCAUUGAGCUUCAGCUCUGUGUAUCUGGUUUAAAUGAUAGCGAAAUUAGCUCAAUUGUGAGCAGGUUUAGAGAUAAUAAACUAGCCUGCACAGUUUGGUCAUAGGUCGGCUGUAAUCUGCCAUUAAACACAGAAAAUGAAACAAAGGAGAAGAAGAAAUAUGUGACCCAGAAACACAACAAGUUGCCUGAGCCGAUCUUCUUGAGGUCAUGUGUGAGGGGUCUUUCGGGAAUCUGUUUGAAUUGGGUCACGCUUUCCACAAAUGUAAUGGCGAUCACCCCACAUGAUUAUUACAUACUUGGAUUAGCCCACACAAAAACAAACACACAGCUUUCAUACAGGAGGGAGUGGUUUGUGUGAAAGACAUGUGUGGCAUAUUUUGGUUCGUCGGUCAUGACACCCGAUAAUUUGUCUCGAGACCAACGUGAUUCAUCAGUCAAGUUAAUGUCCACCAUGGCCCUCUCCUAACCCGGACCCUGGGAGGUGUUGUUGCCUAAAGCAAAAUUAUUUUGAAGACUGAAGGAUAAUCAGAAUGUUUCACGUUGUCCAGAGACAAAGAUGAGCUUUCACAGCUUUUUAUUCUAGCAUCUGAGAAGACGCCCGUGGCAGAAACAACUGAUCAGUCGUACGAGUUUAAUGUUUGCUUUGUCAGAAUUCGAUUGACAAUGGCGUUUCCAUAACCCAAUUAAAACAUCAACACUUUUUGGCAAUGGCAAAAACUACUGAUUAGGAGCUAACUGGGAGCUAAUUGGGAGCUGCAGCUUGCCCAAAUUUGCUUAUAUGCUCACUGAACAGCCCGAAAUUGCAUAUUUAUCCCAAUUCUCUUUCAGAUAAUUAUAGAAGUCCAUGAGCCCCUAGAUCACUGUCAAUUGCAGGGAUUAGGCACGCAAACAUGAAUCCAUGCAGGUUUGUACUCGCAUGGAGGGCUUAUACUCAACAAGCCAUGCUCUAAGACUGCCACCAAGAGGUGGAACGAGUUAAUGGAAAUCUUACUUACGCUGAUUUUUGAAUUUCAGAAGGACAAUAUUGAUUGACAAUAAUUAAAAUUAUACUGAAAUUAAAGUUGUUGGCGCAUUUGACUGUCCUCCCUUAACUCUGCACUCUGUCUGAGGGUUUUGUGAUACGAGGAGGAGGGAUGAAGGGAAGAUGAGGACGGAUUUUGUUGGAGAAAGAAGCAAAAAGCCAAGCAGACGCUACACACGCUAGGAGUGGCCUAAUACACAUAUUUGCAUUGGUGCAGACAAAUGCUGACUACCAAACACAACCAUAAUAAUAAUAAUAAUAAUAAUGGAAUUAUUUUUAUUAACGGAAAGCAGCUCUCGGCGCUCCACUAAAUCAUGAUACAGACAUAAAUAUGAGAGUUGAUCAUCUCAUCUGCAGCCCGGGGGUCGAGAGGGGAAAUGUUAGUCUUCUCUGGAUUAGAUCAUUUAUCACCGUCAUCAGCAUAACGUGUACUACAGGGAUGCAGAGAUGAAAAAAAAAUAGCUGACCACAGUGUGCAAUCUACCCUGACUAAGGCUUUGUAGGAGACACAAAAGAUCAAAACCCCUGAUUAAAAGGUGCGGAGUAUAGGAGUUUUUAUGUCAAUAAAUCAUUAUCACGGUUAUUUCAGACAUAAGAGGCACUUUUAAAAUGAGCAUUUCAAAGUGCUUCACAAUGAACGGUCAAACACUGUAGGCACAUUUUGGGAUUGAAACAGAAGAAAUCAGACCCACGGGCAAAUGAUGAAAAAAGCACAGGGGGAAAAAUAGAAAUUAAAAUAGCUGCGCUGUGUGAAGUUUAAAAUAAAUUCAGGGGCAAAGCAGAUAGAGUGCGUGUAAUUUAUUGUACCAAAAAGGUACAGAAAGCCUUGAGGAGUUGCUGGAACAUAAGCGAUAAUCUGACUGACUCGUGUCGGUCGGUCAAAAGUCAAAAGUCGGUCAAAAGUCCAACAAGCAAAGUUGUUUAUGAUGCUGAUGUUAAUUAAGGCUUGUGUCCAAAAGGACUGGUUCGUCAUUGGAGGCAGGGUGAACUGCCCGAGAAGACACUCAGCACUGUUCAUUAGCACAUCGCCUGCACAGGAGAGCACAUCCAGAUGACGUGGCCUUGUGCCGUGUAAUUAUGCGACCCGGAUGAAGCGUGGAAGCUCAGCUUGGCCUUCGCGUAACAUUUUGGCUUCAGAGCCAAACCGACGCAAACUCUGAGACAGCUGAAGAGAAAACAUGGCGCAGUCUUCUUCCAGAGUAAGAUGCUAAAUACUGCACGUCUCUUUUGUUGAAAGGCGUCAACACAGGUGGCACGUGAGCAGUAUAAACUGCAGCAGAUAAAAGUAUACUUCAGAAAGUAGAGCAGAAACAGCUGAAAGAGAAUAAUUCACACUUGACUGCAGAGACACCACAGGAAGCAAGGUUCAAGUUCCUUAGUGGUUCUAAAUGGUUACAGUUAUUAUAUAAUAUUAUCCAGUAUUCAUUGAGCCAGUUGACAAGAAAAACGUUUGGUUUUUCUCAGCAUCGUUCCUUUCUGCAAACCUCGGAGAUGACGAAUGUGGACGUAUUUGCACUUGUUCACAGCAACCGUUGUAUUGGAGCAAGUAGUUGAACAUUGAACUGGUAUUUUUAACGCAUGUAACUGUCACUUCAUUUUGUAGUUUUCUGCUUAUUGUCUCCCUGGGUAACUUCACUUCCUGCCUUGGCCUGUCAUCCCCUGUGAUUGUCUGAUUGUUUCUACCUUUGUCCAAUCACCUGCACCUACCUAGUGUAUUUAAACCACAUGUGUCUCUUGUCACUUGUUGCGUCAUUGUUGACUGUAAAGCUGCUAAACCCGAUGAAGUCUGCAAAGGGCAGUAGUUGUUUAUUUACUGUAGUUUCCUUGCCCUCGUUAAUAUUCUGCUACUUUUAUAACGUUAGUAUAUGGACACAAACCUGGAUUUUCUUCUAGCUUACAAUUCACAGCACUUCUUUUUGGUUCAGACAUGUUGACAUUCACUUAUGUGCAGUUUGAGGAUUCAUGAGAGAUUUCAACUGGUCUCCAAUAUGCAAUUUACAAAAUAAGUGCUGAGCAAAAACUAAGUCUGCAUUGAAGUGUAAAUGAGUCUUAAAUCUGGUCCGGAGGAGAUUUUUAACUUAGUUUGGACUUUCCAUAUUUCAGAAUUCAUUCAUCAACAUUUCCAAAACGGACCGCACUAAUUUAUCAAAUUUGAGCUUCAGAUUUAAUAAAUACUCUCCAACAUGUCUGAUGUUAGCAGCUCUGGCCGCUUUCAGAAGUAUAGCACUGCUAACGAUAGCUAGUGUGUAUGAUCCAGUGAAGCAUCCAUACGAUACAUCUACUUUAUGUAGAAGAAAACAAAUAAUUUGCCUUAUUUGACUUACUGUGGAUUGAUGUGAAGGCCGAGGAUCAGGACAGCCAAAGGCCAGCGGACGGGGUUCUUAUUGAUGUUGAGGAAUUAUCAGCUAGGCCUGUUAAUAGUAUCGAAUUUAAUUAGCGAAUGACUGCGAAGACCAAUUAUGUAUUCUACAGCUCAGAACGCGUUUUAAACUACCGAACAUGUUCUGUUGAAUCGGGUCUCAUCCAAGCUAUCAACAAAUAUUUACCGAGCUUGAAAGACACGCGGCACACAAACACAAACCCGCACAAACACACCGCAACACUCCUCAUUACCCUCUAGCCUCGGCAAAGGAGCCACGGAUCAGCCGUGGACUCAAUUACUUCAACCUCCCUUCCCUUCUCCUUCCGGAUGUGACAUGAAUAAAUAACCACAUUAUGAUUACCAGCAGCUCCGUGGCGCAUCACAACCCGCCAACUCAAAAAAGGACUCUGUGUAAUUAAAACGGAGAUAGCGAAAAGCCUGCGAAGUAACUCGUGAGUGUCAGGACGGAAGAGGGAAAAUGAGAGAGAAUGGAGAGAAUGGGAGGGGGGGUGAGGACUGGGAGAGGAGAAAGACAAAACUCAAGACAGACACGCAAAGAUGGAGGCCAAAAGAUGGGAGCGGGGACAACAGCUUUAAUUUGGCUCUGGAACAUCAUGCUCAUCGUCUUUCAUGAAGACCGCUUAGAUCCGCCAUCUCAAGACGGCUUAGCAAGAGCACUGCAUGUUUCUGUUAAAGCUCGACACAUUUCCAUUGAAACUCUGAUCAUCGGAUCAUACUUCUUGCCGUUUGUUAGUUAGUUUGAUGAAUAAAAGUCCCCCUUUUCAAUUCAAAAUAUGUAUUCAUUGACACUUUGCCACAGGUUGCCAUUUUGGUCAUUAUCGCCUGAUUGAAAGAGAAGUAUUGCGCGUCAAGAUUUGAGUGAUCUGCGGUAAUCUGUUUUCUCACCUUCUGUGCACAGUGGUUUUCCUGCCUGUGGCCAAAACCAAUAUUUGAAGUGAAUUAAAGGAAACAGUCAAAGGACUCAAUUAGUGGGUGUGUGAGAUUUGCCUCUUUGUUGCGGCUGUGUGAUUUGGGUGUGCAAACCCCUGCAAUUUAACAAAGAAAUGUCUGAUGUGAAUGUGACACUUAUUUUAAAAAAAAAUGUCAGUCAUCUUUUAAUAAAAGACAAAUCUAAACAAUUAAUUGAAAAAAGAAUAUUUAAACACUUCACUUUAUAAAAGCAAAUGGCAGUUUCACAAAGAUUAGCAGCACAAUUCCCAUGUGUUGUAUGUGAGCCAACAAAGAGCCAGAGUUUCUCACACAGGUGUUAUUUUAUAAUUAUCAUGUGGCUUCGGCCAAUAGCAACAAAGAUGCUGAAUUAGCUUUUGAAAGGAAACUGGUUUCUUCCCAGAAAAAAAGAUUUAUUGUGGUUUAUUCUCCCUGAGAGACAUUUAGAAAUGAAAAGUGGGAUUGUCGUGAUAAAAAAAAAGUUCAUCCUACAGCUUAAUUUGGGUAAUAGAAUGACUGAUUGUCUGUGUUUUGAAGACGUAAUCAAAGACCCACAGUGAGUCUGAGACCGAGCUGUUAACUAAUGAGCAAUCCGCAACAAAAGGGAUUCACCUGUGAGACGAGGCAAUGUGAUGCCACAACGGAAAAAAGACUCUUCUUAACAAAACCCAUUGAAAAGGAAGAAAUUAAACAUUAAAUAGUAUGAAACAUAAUACAAACAAAAUAUCAUUUGUUUCACUACAAAACCAAAAAACACAUUGUAUUGAUACAUUUGUGUAAGUUGCUUAGUUUUGCCAAUAUUUGCCAUACCGGCCGGGUGUCGGACUUCUUUCCAAAAUAACAGGAAUCCAUGGCAUGGGUAGGGGGCCCAAAGCAAUUUAAAAAUGCAUUUGAAAACCAAAUCUCUGCUGAAAUCAUGACCCAGUAAGUAGAGUAGAGUUUUUAGUUCAUAUUUUCUCUGAUUACCAGACACCCACCUACCGUCUCACAACGCAGAGGGAAGUGUGCAUCUUCUUUCAGAACGGUCAGAUCACUCUAACAUUAUCGAUGUAAUACGGAUUAGCCGCCGCUCGCCAACAAUGGUCACAUUUCGUGCUAUCACAAGCCUCUCGUCCAAGAGUCCAUGAAAGCUUCCUUCUGCAACGGACGUUGAUACUGUUGCCGGGAUUAAUUCAGAAAGGAAGCAGUUCCUACAUGAAGCUGGAAGCUCAGUGUCAUUGUCCCAUUAUAUUGGAGAGAAGACAGACAUCUCUACGGCCGAUAUCUCCAAAACUAGGCAAAUCACACUUAAACAAUCUAGAUUUAUACAUAGCACCGCAGGUAAAAGGACAUCUACUUUUCAUUUUGUGUCAGGCGGUCCCUUAGAUAACAGACCUGGAUAUUAACCAGAAUUCCUAUCCUACCUGCUCUUAAAAAAUAAGAGCAAAUACACACACUAACUGAUAAAAGUGGUGAACCUGAACUGUAAAAAGUUGGACAGCAAAGAAAUACCAAAUCAAUGAGCUGAUCGAUGCAAUAAUGCCCCUCAAAGCUGAAUGCGGCGUCUCAGGUGGUCAUUCUCUUUGUGCCUGUCAAUGUGAGUGACCUUUGGACAUCUUUAACACUAAAAUACAAAUUAGCGGAGCUUAAAAACAGUCUGCUGUGUUUUGUUUCCCUCCAUCCCAUGAGCAGGGGAAACGUUUCAUCAUCUAUAGCAUCAAGGGACAGAAAAAACCCAGGAGCGUGACACGUGUCGACAACAAUGCGUCCCACCGAAACACAGGCGCACGUCCUCCACCCUGCGCCGUCCUCCUGGAGGACAGACGAGAUGAACGUGCCAACGACCAGCAGCUCUCGUCAGGACCCGGCCUGUGACCUUAUGGUGACAAUCGGUGGCACACUUUAUUAGAAACACACACACACACACACACACACACAGAUUCUCCCCCCCGUCAGGUAACCAUGACCAUAGACGGGAUGUGAAGACAGAUGCCGUUCUCUCCAUCGGCCGUUCCUUCAGAGACAGAACACGUGGGACUGUUAUCCGAGUAUCAGGCAAAUCGGGCGUCGCCGAGGAGUGUGGUCGUGCGGUACGCUAAUUUAGGAGGCAAGAGCCAAUGCGGUGCUUAAUGAAGCGCUUUGUCACAUUAUCAAUCACAGACACACAUCCACCUUUUAUUGGCAAGUCUUUGAGGUGCUUUGGACUUCUACUGAAAAUCUUUUCUCCUCAAAGUGAACCGGUGAGGCCUUUUCUCAGCAUAAGGGGCCCUCGUCUUUGUCAAGGACAUUGAGGUUAUUAACGAUCAAGACAAUCCGCGGCGACCUCUUCCAUUCACGGCGCACCUAUCGAUUCGCCCGGCAGAUCAUGUCUGAAAUAAUAUUUGUAUGUCUAAUUAUCGUCAGGUUUGUUUCUUUCUUUUAAGCUCUCAGUUUGAAGCCCGCCCUUUGAUGGCCUAACAAAUCCGCCGCGACAGCCAGCGAGACGAGAAAAUAACAAUUAGAACAUUCCAUUUCAAGUCUCACACAGCAGAGACACAAGGCGCCGGUCGCGUUGCUUCAUUCGUCGCAACGCUGGGUCGUGACACCGCUCAGUUAUCUGCGGGAGUUUUCUUGAUGCGUUCCCUCCCUCAUCUUAAACAUCUGCCACUCAGUCACUCACACACACACACACACACACACACACACACACGUUAGCUCCUCAGAUGUCUGCCAAACAAACAUCAUUAAAAGCAGGCGGCGGCUGCCCCCAUGCGACACCCGCCAUGCGUGUCGGGUAAACACCACAACAGCUCAUUAGCAUCAAAAGUCAUCAAAUCACAGUGGGGGUGUGUGUGUGUGUUGUGGAUGUGUACAUAAGGGACUGUGUGACGUUGUGUGUAUCCUUUUUGUGGUGCAGUAGUAGGGUUACAGAAGGAGGGUGUAUACAUGUACGAAUGUGUGCACGAAUGUGUGUGUGUGUGUUCUCACUGGCUGUAUGUGGCUUGGAGCAAUGGGGAGAACAGUUCAUUGUGCAAUGAGCAGACUUCUGCUAAAAUAUUCAUGAGUGGCCUCCUCAGCGGGGCGCAGCAGGUUGAGUCAGGUCGAGCUCGUUUAAACGGCAGAGCGAGCUAAAACGACAGAGGACGCGGCGGAGACGGCCGGAGUGUCGAGGUCAGUGGUUUGAAGACCUCUGCAGCCGUGACGCAAACAUCUCUGAAGGUUUGCAGGACGAUUGAAAAUGUUCCAGGAAGCUUUGAAAAGAGAGCGGGUGUUAUGCACAAAACUGUGUGAGGGCGUCUCUGUGAGUAACACAGACACAGACGCAGUUUUGUCAAGCUUCGGUUGGCUUUUAGUAGAAUUGCGGACAAGUAAAAUUAAGAAUAUUACCAGCAUGUUGUUAGAUUUCCCAUCGGUUUCAUAUCAUUUCUUGAUACGUUAUCUUCUUCAAAGUGAUUUUACAACGUGACAUCUAUAUAAAAGGUAUGUCUUUAUUAGCCAGCAGCACGUGUCAAUAUCCGCAUGGAGUCCAUUUAAAAUAAUUGGCGUUUAGCGAACAAAGCUACUUUCUUAGGUUUUGGAAAAGAAUGGUGUUUGUAAUUAUAUAACUAUGCAAGGGCAGUUACAUUAGGGCUAAUUAAAUCACAAUCACAAUUUAGGACAAGAAUAUUUCAUAUUGAAAAAUGCCAGAAAAAUCUUAAUCUGGCCCCCAAAACAAAAUUCUGAUAAACAUUCCCUUUGUAUUUUGCAAGUGUCAUCUAAGUAUGGAAAAUAUUUGAAUAUGCAACCACAGUGGCUGAAGUGUGAGAUGAGAUUUACCAGACAAAACAGUUGACCACUGCAGCCACGCAAACAGAAAGCGCCUCAUUAAAGCAAAAUCAUUUUUUCAAAAUUUAAAAUAUCAAUGAUUGAUUGUGUGAGAUUUUGCAUGAGCUUGACUUUUACGUGAAAUGCGUAUAUAAAAUAAAACGCGGCAUAAAAACUCAGUAAGAACCAACGCUUUCAGCUUCCGUGGGGCUCCACCCUGCAGCACACAGACUUCUUCAUUAUACAGCAAACAUCUGGAGGCCUCGGGGAAGGUUGUGAAUGUUUAUGCCCAAGAGUGUGUGUGUGUGUGUGUGUGUGUGUGUGUGUGUGUGUGUGUGUGUGUGUGUGUGUGUGUGUGUGUGUGUGUGUGUGUGUGUGUGUGUGUGAGAGAGAGUCCUGAGGGAAGGUUUUGGACCUAAUUGGCACCGGCGUGUCAAAUGUUUCCGUGAACCAAGCUGGCACUCCUGUACGUCAAAACUUCCCAACAAUCGGAGAGGCGCGUGAAUGCCAAUUAGUCCGACAACGCCGGAGUGACUUUCAGCAUCCCGGCGCUGCAGGAGGGAUGUAAAAUCUGUUUAUUAGUCUGGACAUACACAAAAAAUUUGUAAAUAAAAUGAGGCUGGUGCGUGACCUUAAAUGACUGCUGGGAGGUCGUGAAGAUCUAAAUACCAAGAGGGGAAUUUUCUGCUGAAAGUAAAGACAUGUUCAUAGGCUGCCUGGUCAUGAUGUGCCUUUGUAUUUUGUACAGUACAAACUCUACUGGAACAAUACUCAGGAUCAUCCCUUCAUUACGCGCUCCACAGAGUCGAUGAUCUGAUUACACUUUGAAACACCUCGCUGGAUAAAUUUAGAUAUUAAUGAGGGGAAAAACGAUUUUCUCAAAACUGCUAUAACUCCUUAAUGAGUUAAGAUGCCGAGCUCCCAUUAAUACUGGCCAUUAUGUGGAGAAGAAUAUGCUGACAUGGAAUUAUUUGCUAAUGAAUGCGAAUUACCUUAAUUAAUGACCUCAUUAGCAUAACUACUUGUGUUCAAUAUAUCACAGAGAUAUGGUUUAUGGACAUGAAGCAGCUCAAGUGGGUCUCAUUUUUUAUGGUCCCUCCUAAAUUAUGUUGCAUAUUUUAAUAUCGUAUGAUCCACUGUCACGUAGAAGAUAUUUAUUUCAUAUUCUUAGGAUGUUUUAUCACACAUAUUCCGCACUGGUUAAUCUUCACAUACUAAUGUUAGUGUUUCUAUUAUUAGCGACUGUAUGGGAAUUAUUAGGAGGGAGAAGGUCAGAAAAGGGGCGGCUCAUGCAUUUUCUUUUCUUUUCAGUGAAAUGAGGGUUGUCUUACAGCGGGGGACGCUCUAUUAAUUUUUUCCGCAGCUUUAUUUCAAUUUUCCCCAGUAGAUUAAUUACUUCUUCAUGCAUUGCUUCUUUUAGUUAAUAACGGUUAAAUGAGUUUUACCACUUAGGUUCAUAUAUUAGGGUGAGGGUAUUUGCAGAUUUCUUCCAAGUAAAGGGGAAAGUACAAAUGACUGUUGAAAUGAGGGUCAGUUUUUUUUGUAUCUUUUGAACUCCACACGUCCCAGCAAUUUUUUGUACA
Molecule: long non-coding RNA, 16017 nt
Organism: Gasterosteus aculeatus aculeatus (three-spined stickleback)
Lineage: Eukaryota; Metazoa; Chordata; Actinopteri; Perciformes; Gasterosteidae
Source: Ensembl